Molecule: unclassified non-coding RNA, 336 nt
Filed under: soil metagenome
Description: partial contains 5.8S ribosomal RNA, internal transcribed spacer 2, and large subunit ribosomal RNA
Rfam family: 5.8S ribosomal RNA (bases 1-120)
Source: RNAcentral
GAUGAAGAACGUAGCGAAAUGCGAUAAGUAAUGUGAAUUGCAGAAUUCAGUGAAUCAUCGAAUCUUUGAACGCACAUUGCGCCCGCCAGUAUUCUGGCGGGCAUGCCUGUUCGAGCGUCAUUUCAACCAUCAAGCCCCAGGCUUGUGUUGGGGACCUGCGGCAGCCGCAGGCCCUGAAAACCAGUGGCGGGCUCGCUGUCACACCGGGCGUAGUAGAUUUUAUCUCGCUCAGGGCGUGCUGCGGGUCCCGGCCGUUAAAAGCCUUUUUUUACCCAAGGUUGACCUCGGAUCAGGUAGGAAGACCCGCUGAACUUAAGCAUAUCAAUAAGCGGAGGA